UUUUUGAAGAUCUGAUGAAGUAAUGGACCUUGAGAUGGGAACCUUACUGUGGAGUAUCUUGGGAGGAAUAGAUCUGGGCGGAAGGGCUUUCCUCCGUAGGCAUUCUCCACUCUGAAAAUCUUCUCUGAUGGGAUGAGAAUAAUUGAAAUUACAAGAAAGAAUGCAGCAUGAAAACACUGUAGCAGCAGCCAGACUGAGUUGGUCCCAGCCCCACUCCACAGCCAUGGGUGCCCAGGGUGAAGGUCACAGAGCCAAGGCCAGCACUCCAAAGGAUGACUGUGCCACCAGAUGGGACCUAUUGGCAGCCUCUAAAUCCGCCAUUGCUCACAGAUGUGUUUUUCUGGAUUCCCAAGGUAUCC
This is a long non-coding RNA of Enhydra lutris kenyoni (northern sea otter), 359 nucleotides long. RefSeq lists it as uncharacterized. The record is from RefSeq and is a predicted model, not a curated record. The transcript is spliced from 3 exons. NCBI's taxonomy places the organism in Eukaryota, Metazoa, Chordata, Mammalia, Carnivora, Mustelidae.